Molecule: ribosomal RNA, 467 nt
Filed under: uncultured bacterium
Lineage: Bacteria
Description: partial 16S ribosomal RNA
Rfam family: Bacterial small subunit ribosomal RNA
Source: RNAcentral
GACGAACGCUGGCGGCGUGCUUAACACAUGCAAGUCGAACGGAAAGGCCUAGCUUGCUGGGUACUCGAGUGGCGAACGGGUGAGUAACACGUGGGUGAUCUGCCCCUGACUUUGGGAUAAGCCUGGGAAACUGGGUCUAAUACCGGAUAUUCAUUUUUCCUCGCAUGGGGAUUUGUGGAAAGCUUUUGCGGUUGGGGAUGGGCCCGCAGCCUAUCAGCUUGUUGGUGGGGUAAUGGCCUACCAAGGCGACGACGGGUAGCCGACCUGAGAGGGUGAUCGGCCACACUGGGACUGAGACACGGCCCAGACUCCUACGGGAGGCAGCAGUGGGGAAUAUUGCACAAUGGGCGCAAGCCUGAUGCAGCGACGCCGCGUGAGGGAUGACGGCCUUCGGGUUGUAAACCUCUUUCAGCUCCGACGAAGCGCAAGUGACGGUAGGAGCAGAAGAAGCACCGGCCAACUACGUG